RNAcentral lists this ribosomal RNA (468 nucleotides) under uncultured bacterium. RNAcentral's name for it is "partial 16S ribosomal RNA". It matches the Rfam family "Bacterial small subunit ribosomal RNA", at positions 28 to 507 of the family's 1533-position model. The record is from RNAcentral.
GACGAACGCUGGCGGCGUGCUUAACACAUGCAAGUCGAACGGAAAGGCCCUGCUUUUGUGGGGUGCUCGAGUGGCGAACGGGUGAGUAACACGUGAGUAACCUGCCCUUGACUUUGGGAUAACUUCAGGAAACUGGAGCUAAUACCGGAUAGGAGCUCCUGCUGCAUGGUGGGGGUUGGAAAUUUUCGGCGGUUGGGGAUGGACUCGCGGCUUAUCAGCUUGUUGGUGGGGUAGUGGCUUACCAAGGCUUUGACGGGUAGCCGGCCUGAGAGGGUGACCGGCCACAUUGGGACUGAGAUACGGCCCAGACUCCUACGGGAGGCAGCAGUGGGGAAUAUUGCACAAUGGGAGGAAGCCUGAUGCAGCAACGCCGCGUGCGGGAUGACGGCCUUCGGGUUGUAAACCGCUUUCGCCUGUGACGAAGCGUGAGUGACGGUAAUGGGUAAAGAAGCACCGGCUAACUACGUG